GCCAUCACCCCCUACCCAGCUCACCUGAAGGUCUAGGAGCGCGAAAAUUGACUGUUAUUGUCUACGGUGUGGAUCGUGUUCAGUUGCGAACGGUUAUCGUGGAUAGAAACUUCAGUCUCGCGUGAUGAGUUAGUUGUUGUUAAGCGAUUGAUUGAAUGAAGAAGAUUUUUACUCAGAUUCCAGUGAUGAUGAUUACAUUCCUACAAGUGACUGAGAGUGAUGUUGAAGAAUUAUCCAAUGAAGCUGAACAAAUUUCAAACAAUGAAAGUGAUGACUGUAGAACAAAGCUCUUCCAAAAAGAGAAAACGUCCCUUAAAAAAGAAUAAAUCAAAUAAAACAACAGUUUCUGAAGAACCAGACAAAGGAGAUAAAUUUAAAAAUACCAAUAAUGAUGAAGAUAAAAAACAAAGGAUUGAUCGUAUGUGGGCUAGUUUCAAGGAGGGAACUGACACAAACUGACAAAAGAAGCAAAAAGAGACUGUUGCACCUAUUGUAACCAAACCUACAAAAUCUACAGCCUGUAAAAAUUUGCUGGAGAAGAAAUUGAAAUCCCAGAAGAAGUUAAGAAAACUGGACCUUUAAAUUCCCAAGAAAUGAAAGGAAAAAACCUUCCUACUUAAAAA
This 623-nucleotide long non-coding RNA is filed under the name Daphnia pulicaria. RNAcentral's name for it is "uncharacterized LOC124344477, transcript variant X2". Lineage: Eukaryota; Metazoa; Arthropoda; Branchiopoda; Diplostraca; Daphniidae. The record is from RNAcentral.